AUUUAAAUAGCUUAUUUGAAAGCGUGAUAUUGAAGUUAUCAAGAUGAGUGUUUCACUCUUUAAAUA
Molecule: transfer RNA, 66 nt
Filed under: Carcinocoris binghami
Lineage: Eukaryota; Metazoa; Arthropoda; Insecta; Hemiptera; Phymatidae
Description: tRNA-Phe
Source: RNAcentral